RNAcentral lists this long non-coding RNA (2727 nucleotides) under Mus musculus (house mouse). RNAcentral's name for it is "long non-coding RNA chr6:57845585-57848312". Lineage: Eukaryota; Metazoa; Chordata; Mammalia; Rodentia; Muridae. The record is from RNAcentral.
UCAACCUCCCUAAGCACCCCCUCACCUCCUAUUUUUCCAUUUCCCUUAUGAGAUCACUUGUAUUCUGCCAUUCUCCUCUCUAUUGCUUCUACCACCACCUCCAGCCCUAUCCUGGCAAUGGUAUUAUUUUACAUCCCUGUUUUCUGUAGUUUCUACAGGCUACAGAAUCACAUUUGAAGAUCCAAAUCUCUCCAAUGAAAGAGAACAUGAGACUCUAAGACAAACAUUUUAAUUUUCUACACGAUAUUAUAAACAUGAACUCACCAAAGAUGACCAUAGAGUGAUUCUGUUUUGAAAUUUCUGUUUUAAAGAGAUUCCUUCCCAUGCAGUGAAAAUCAAGGUCUCCAGUGUUAUCACACAUCAUCAAUACCUUUGGUGUUUAUGUAAGUUAUUUGUCGUGGUUACCCAAAUCAAUUUAAUAUCAAAUUAAUUUAGUUUAGUACUUUAAAGCCAGCUUUAUGAUACAGAAAUAAAAAUGACUAUACUGACUUGUGUUAGAAGAGUGCCAAAUUAUAUAGUUCACUUACAUAUUUCACGUAUAUAGUACAUGCAUGUAUGUAUGGAAACUAUGCAGAAAUUGGUGGGUGAGACCACCCUAUAACAUUUCCAUUUAUAUGAUACCAUGAGUCACAUAUUUUAUGCUUACAUAAUUUUUGCUCCUAAAAAGCUUAAUCUAGCAAAAUAAUGGAUUCUUCCCAAUUGCCAGAAUCAAACAUUUGGUUUUCUCAACAAUAUAUAUAUUUUAGUAGCUGUAUAGUGAUGCUCUGUCUUUUAAAAUUCCAGGCUAAAAGCUAGGGAGAUGGUUGAGUGGUUAAGAUGAUUUUUGCUCUUGCAAAUGACAGGAGUUAGAUUCCCAACAAUGACAUGGUGGCUCAUAACCGUCUAUAAAUCUAGUUCCAGGGGAUACAUUAACCUAUCUAACCCAGGCAUGCAAGUGGCACACAGACAUACACGCAGGCAAAACACUCAUCUUUAUAAAUAAAACAAGCAUUAAAAUAAACAAACAAACAAACAAAUAAAUGCUCUAGUAUAAUACUUAAUUCAAGCCUUGGUCUCUGAACUGAAAGAACUAUAGCUAUAGCACAAUUCUAAUUUUAAAUUUGCAAAUGUAUGUAGAAUCAUUUAUUAUUUCUUAUGUCUUCAACUUAUUAAUAUAGCACAUGUGUUAUGAGUCAUACAAAAAGAUGCAUGCAACUCCCCACUCUAUUUCAUAUUCAUUGCGAAGUAGAUGCUUAUCACAUACAGAAAAUAACACAUCUUCUGAUGGAUCAAGUAGAAUCUUCCUCUGGGGUUCAUUGAAUCUGAGACUGGACCAGAAAUGACCAGAGCUACCAUGGCUAUAAACUGAGUUGUUAACAUAUGCCUGCCCCGAGAAAAGUCAUUUGUUUUAUUUGGAAAAAUAAUUUGCAAUGCUGGGGUUAAUCUAAAUAUUUUGUACAUUUUAGGAGAGCACUCUAAAACUGAUAUGCAUGAUCUCAAGCUCUGGCUUUUUGUUGCUUGUUUGCUUUUUCUUUCCGGUUUUAAGACAAGACCUCACUAUACAGCUGAUGCAGGCUUGACCUUGCUAUGUAUGUAGAUGUUCUUAAAUUUAUGUUCUUUAUGCUUCUGCCUCCUGAGUGACAGAGUUACUGGUUUGAAUAUCAAACUGAACCAUUCAUUUUAAUUUAAAAUUUAAGUAUUUAUCAGAGAUUUGUAUUUGAUAACUCUGUCAGUUCCAUAGCAAAAGAAUAACAAGGCCUAUACUAAUGUAAUGCUAACUAAAAAGCCCUAAAAUAGAAGAAAACAUCCGAGAUAAAGUCUACAAAGUUGUAUAGUGCCAGGGAGAAUUGGAUCCUCUAUGACACUCUGACUAUUCACUGUAUACGCACCUCACAGUCUACAGGAGUAUACAGGUUAGGGCUGAUCAGGCUGAUGUGAAAUCACAGGAACACAUUCAGAGCAUACGCUGUAGAUGACAGUUAUUGCUGUGCGUCUGGAUUUCACAUUACUUUAAGUUGUAAACUCUAGUUGUAGGUACUAAAACUCAAAGUGUAUUCAUAAACAUUCAUAAUAGUGGAGAAGUUAUAACUAUGAAAUUUACCUAGAGCAAAACAUUAUGCAGUCUGUAGGCAGAUAUCUGAAGAGAACUGCAACAAAAUAAACCAAGAGCAGCUUCAUCCACAUAUCUACAUUCUUCAGAGACAAAUCAGUUUACUUUUUCAUUGCCAUAAUAUUUGAUUUUGAAAGUUUUGUUUUAUGGUUGUCUCUGUAUUCUGCUUUGUGCAGAUGUAAUAAUACAAUGAUUAUGCAUGGAUAUACAAAUAUAUUACAUCAGAGGUAUCAUUUUUUUAACUGUUCUUUGGAAAUUGAGUUUAGCACAAGUGUAACUGGAAGCACACAGACACUGACUAGAAUAUUACAGUCUCACACUUAUGAGCCAGUUCCCUGAGAUGAAGCAGCAGCAGCAAAAGUGUCACUGCAGAGAAUGUGGGGAAGCAAUCAUACCCAGAGUUUCAUCACAAAUUGCAUGGCAUAAGUUUGGGAAAGAUAUGAAAAUGUUAACUGAAAAUGUGUGUGUGUGUGUGUGUGUGUGUGUGUGUGUGUGUGAAAUUAUUGGGCUCCUGGGCCUAAGAAUAGAUCAAUAUCAUAGUGUGUGCUAAGACUGUGAUCACAAAUAACUAUAACACCUAAAUGAAAAGCUGAGGAUUAUAUCAUUAUAUGUUCAUGAAAAUAAAAUAAAGUUUAUGG